UGGGGAAUUUUGCGCAAUGGACGGAAGUCUGACGCAGCAACGCCGCGUGGGUGAUGAAGGUCUUCGGACUGUAAAACCCUGUCGUCAGGGACGAAGGUUGAGGGGUUAAUAACCCUUUAGCUUGACGGUACCUGGAGAGGAAGCCCCGGCUAACUCUGUGCCAGCAGCCGCGGUAAUACAGAGGGGGCAAGCGUUAUUCGGAAUUAUUGGGCGUAAAGGGCGCGUAGGCGGUUUUUUAAGUCAGAUGUGUAAUCCCCGAGCUCAACUUGGGAACUGCAUCUGAGACUGGAAGGCUAGAGUACUGGAGAGGGUGGUGGAAUUCCUCGUGUAGCGGUGAAAUGCGUAGAGAUGUGGAGGAAUACCGAUGGCGAAGGCAGCCCCCUGGGAUAACACUGACGCUCAUGCACGAAAGCGUGGGGAGCAAACAGGAUUAGAUACCCUGGUAGUCCACGCCCUAAACGAUGUCUACUAGUUGUCGGGUCUUAAUUGACUUGGUAACGCAGCUAACGCGUGAAGUAGACCGCCUGGGGAGUACGGUCGCAAGAUUA
Molecule: ribosomal RNA, 548 nt
Filed under: uncultured bacterium
Lineage: Bacteria
Description: bacterial SSU rRNA
Rfam family: Bacterial small subunit ribosomal RNA
Source: RNAcentral